UUAAUUGAAGAGUUUGAUCAUGGCUCAGAUUGAACGCUGGCGGCAGGCCUAACACAUGCAAGUCGAGCGGCAGCACAGAGGAACUUGUUCCUUGGGUGGCGAGCGGCGGACGGGUGAGUAAUGCCUGGGAAAUUGCCCGGUAGAGGGGGAUAACCAUUGGAAACGAUGGCUAAUACCGCAUAACCUCGUAAGAGCAAAGCAGGGGACCUUCGGGCCUUGUGCUACCGGAUAUGCCCAGGUGGGAUUAGCUAGUUGGUGAGGUAAGGGCUCACCAAGGCGACGAUCCCUAGCUGG
RNAcentral lists this ribosomal RNA (294 nucleotides) under Vibrio cholerae. Its description in RNAcentral is "partial 16S ribosomal RNA". It matches the Rfam family "Bacterial small subunit ribosomal RNA", at positions 1 to 290 of the family's 1533-position model. The record is from RNAcentral. Lineage: Bacteria; Pseudomonadati; Pseudomonadota; Gammaproteobacteria; Vibrionales; Vibrionaceae.